RNAcentral lists this ribosomal RNA (633 nucleotides) under Staphylococcus epidermidis APO27. RNAcentral describes it as "bacterial SSU rRNA". It matches the Rfam family "Bacterial small subunit ribosomal RNA", at positions 903 to 1533 of the family's 1533-position model. Lineage: Bacteria; Bacillati; Bacillota; Bacilli; Caryophanales; Staphylococcaceae. The record is from RNAcentral.
AAGGAAUUGACGGGGACCCGCACAAGCGGUGGAGCAUGUGGUUUAAUUCGAAGCAACGCGAAGAACCUUACCAAAUCUUGACAUCCUCUGACCCCUCUAGAGAUAGAGUUUUCCCCUUCGGGGGACAGAGUGACAGGUGGUGCAUGGUUGUCGUCAGCUCGUGUCGUGAGAUGUUGGGUUAAGUCCCGCAACGAGCGCAACCCUUAAGCUUAGUUGCCAUCAUUAAGUUGGGCACUCUAAGUUGACUGCCGGUGACAAACCGGAGGAAGGUGGGGAUGACGUCAAAUCAUCAUGCCCCUUAUGAUUUGGGCUACACACGUGCUACAAUGGACAAUACAAAGGGCAGCGAAACCGCGAGGUCAAGCAAAUCCCAUAAAGUUGUUCUCAGUUCGGAUUGUAGUCUGCAACUCGACUAUAUGAAGCUGGAAUCGCUAGUAAUCGUAGAUCAGCAUGCUACGGUGAAUACGUUCCCGGGUCUUGUACACACCGCCCGUCACACCACGAGAGUUUGUAACACCCGAAGCCGGUGGAGUAACCAUUUGGAGCUAGCCGUCGAAGGUGGGACAAAUGAUUGGGGUGAAGUCGUAACAAGGUAGCCGUAUCGGAAGGUGCGGCUGGAUCACCUCCUUUCUA